This is a small nuclear RNA of Sarcophilus harrisii (Tasmanian devil), 107 nucleotides long. The record is from Ensembl. Lineage: Eukaryota; Metazoa; Chordata; Mammalia; Dasyuromorphia; Dasyuridae.
GUGCUUGCUUUGAAAGUACAUAUCCUAAAAUUGGAAUCAUACAGAGAGGAUUAGUGGGGCCCCUGCACAAGGGUGAUAUGCAAAUCCAUUGCGUGUGGGACUUUUUU